This 429-nucleotide ribosomal RNA is filed under the name uncultured archaeon. RNAcentral's name for it is "bacterial SSU rRNA". It matches the Rfam family "Archaeal small subunit ribosomal RNA", at positions 474 to 903 of the family's 1478-position model. The record is from RNAcentral.
AACCAGCUCUUCAAGUGGUCGGGAUUAUUAUUGGGCUUAAAGUGUCCGUAGCCGGUAUAGUAAGUUCCUGGUUAAAUCGGAUAGCUUAACUAUCUGUUGGCUAGGAAUACUGCUAUACUAGGGGGCGGGAGAGGUCUGAGGUACUCCAGGGGUAGGGGUGAAAUCCUAUAAUCCUUGGGGGACCACCAGUGGCGAAGGCGUCAGACUGGAACGCGCCCGACGGUGAGGGACGAAAGCCAGGGGAGCGAACCGGAUUAGAUACCCGGGUAGUCCUGGCUGUAAACGAUGCGUGCUAGGUGUUGGUAUGGCCUUGAGCCGUAUCAGUGCCGUAGGGAAACCGAUAAGCGCGCCGCCUGGGGAGUACGGUCGCAAGACUGAAACUUAAGGAAUUGGCGGGCGAGCACCGACAAGGGGUGAAGCCUGCGGUUC